GGGGUUGGCCCAAACCGUUGAUGUGCCAAGGAUGCCGCCGUUGCAUCUAGUGGGUAGCGGGAAGGUCGUCUGAAGAUCUGCAAGGUAUGCGGCAUUAUGAUACGCCGAACUGGAAAGGUCUGGAAAGGCCUGCCGUAGAUAGUUAAAGCCUCGUACAGGUAAACCGUAUCGAAUGUAUGAUCUCUCCCAAGUAGCACGGAACACUAGGAAUUCUGUGUGAAUCUGCGAGGACCAUAUCUCGUAAGGCUAAAUACUCUUACUUACCGAUAGCGCAUAGUACCGUGAGGGAAAGGUGAAAAGAACCCCGGGAGGGGAGUGAAAUAGAACCUGAGAUCGUGUGCUUACAAGCGGUCAGAGCCCUUUGGGGUGAUUGCGUGCCUUUUGGAGAAUGAUCCUGCGAGUUACGUUCAGUGGAAAGGUUAAGUUUAACGGGGCCGAAGGGGAACCGAGUCUGAAUAGGGCGACAUAGUCGCUGGGCGUAGACGCGAAACCUGGUGAUCUAAGCCUGUCCAGGGUGAAGCUGUGGUAAG
This 530-nucleotide ribosomal RNA is filed under the name Cetobacterium somerae. RNAcentral's name for it is "partial 23S ribosomal RNA". It matches the Rfam family "Bacterial large subunit ribosomal RNA", at positions 260 to 760 of the family's 2925-position model. Lineage: Bacteria; Fusobacteriati; Fusobacteriota; Fusobacteriia; Fusobacteriales; Fusobacteriaceae. The record is from RNAcentral.